RNAcentral lists this ribosomal RNA (1411 nucleotides) under Streptomyces deccanensis. Its description in RNAcentral is "bacterial SSU rRNA". It matches the Rfam family "Bacterial small subunit ribosomal RNA". The record is from RNAcentral. Lineage: Bacteria; Bacillati; Actinomycetota; Actinomycetes; Kitasatosporales; Streptomycetaceae.
ACGAACGCUGGCGGCGUGCUUAACACAUGCAAGUCGAACGAUGAACCACUUCGGUGGGGAUUAGUGGCGAACGGAUGAGUAACACGUGGGCAAUCUGCCCUUCACUCUGGGACAAGCCCUGGAAACGGGGUCUAAUACCGGAUACGACACUCUCGGGCAUCCGAUGAGUGUGGAAAGCUCCGGCGGUGAAGGAUGAGCCCGCGGCCUAUCAGCUUGUUGGUGAGGUAACGGCUCACCAAGGCGACGACGGGUAGCCGGCCUGAGAGGGCGACCGGCCACACUGGGACUGAGACACGGCCCAGACUCCUACGGGAGGCAGCAGUGGGGAAUAUUGCACAAUGGGCGAAAGCCUGAUGCAGCGACGCCGCGUGAGGGAUGACGGCCUUCGGGUUGUAAACCUCUUUCAGCAGGGAAGAAGCGAAAGUGACGGUACCUGCAGAAGAAGCGCCGGCUAACUACGUGCCAGCAGCCGCGGUAAUACGUAGGGCGCGAGCGUUGUCCGGAAUUAUUGGGCGUAAAGAGCUCGUAGGCGGUCUGUCGCGUCGGAUGUGAAAGCCCGGGGCUUAACCCCGGGUCUGCAUUCGAUACGGGCAGACUAGAGUGUGGUAGGGGAGAUCGGAAUUCCUGGUGUAGCGGUGAAAUGCGCAGAUAUCAGGAGGAACACCGGUGGCGAAGGCGGAUCUCUGGGCCAUUACUGACGCUGAGGAGCGAAAGCGUGGGGAGCGAACAGGAUUAGAUACCCUGGUAGUCCACGCCGUAAACGGUGGGAACUAGGUGUUGGCGACAUUCCACGUCGUCGGUGCCGCAGCUAACGCAUUAAGUUCCCCGCCUGGGGAGUACGGCCGCAAGGCUAAAACUCAAGGAAUUGACGGGGGCCCGCACAAGCAGCGGAGCAGGUGGCUUAAUUCGACGCAACGCGAAGAACCUUACCAAGGCUUGACAUACACCGGAAACGGCCAGAGAUGGUCGCCCCCUUGUGGUCGGUGUACAGGUGGUGCAUGGCUGUCGUCAGCUCGUGUCGUGAGAUGUUGGGUUAAGUCCCGCAACGAGCGCAACCCUUGUUCUGUGUUGCCAGCAUGCCCUUCGGGGUGAUGGGGACUCACAGGAGACUGCCGGGGUCAACUCGGAGGAAGGUGGGGACGACGUCAAGUCAUCAUGCCCCUUAUGUCUUGGGCUGCACACGUGCUACAAUGGCAGGUACAAUGAGCUGCGAAGCCGUGAGGCGGAGCGAAUCUCAAAAAGCCUGUCUCAGUUCGGAUUGGGGUCUGCAACUCGACCCCAUGAAGUCGGAGUUGCUAGUAAUCGCAGAUCAGCAUUGCUGCGGUGAAUACGUUCCCGGGCCUUGUACACACCGCCCGGUCACGUCACGAAAGUCGGUAACACCCGAAAGCCGGUGGCCCAACCCCUUGUG